Molecule: microRNA precursor, 97 nt
Filed under: Chlorocebus sabaeus (green monkey)
Lineage: Eukaryota; Metazoa; Chordata; Mammalia; Primates; Cercopithecidae
Description: miRNA (ENSCSAG00000020102.1)
Source: RNAcentral
GUUGGCUGUAGGUUUAUAGCAUUAGGUCGGUGCAAAAGUAAUUGCAGUUUUUGCCAUUGAAAGUAAUGGCAAAAGUAGUAUUUGUUUCAUGUAUCUG